ACACUGCCGAGGAGUCCCACAAUAGGACGAAACGACCAUCAAGUGU
This is a non-coding RNA of Schistosoma rodhaini, 46 nucleotides long. The record is from Rfam. Lineage: Eukaryota; Metazoa; Platyhelminthes; Trematoda; Strigeidida; Schistosomatidae.